AUGGGGUGACUGCGUACCUUUUGUAUAAUGGGUCAGCGACUUAUAUUCUGUAGCAAGGUUAACCGAAUAGGGGAGCCGAAGGGAAACCGAGUCUUAACUGGGCGUUAAGUUGCAGGGUAUAGACCCGAAACCCGGUGAUCUAGCCAUGGGCAGGUUGAAGGUUGGGUAACACUAACUGGAGGACCGAACCGACUAAUGUUGAAAAAUUAGCGGAUGACUUGUGGCUGGGGGUGAAAGGCCAAUCAAACCGGGAGAUAGCUGGUUCUCCCCGAAAGCUAUUUAGGUAGCGCCUCGUGAAUUCAUCUCCGGGGGUAGAGCACUGUUUCGGCAAGGGGGUCAUCCCGACUUACCAACCCGAUGCAAACUGCGAAUACCGGAGAAUGUUAUCACGGGAGACACACGGCGGGUGCUAACGUCCGUCGUGAAGAGGGAAACAACCCAGACCGCCAGCUAAGGUCCCAAAGUCAUGGUUAAGUGGGAAACGAUGUGGGAAGGCCCAGACAGCCAGGAUGUUGGCUUAGAAGCAGCCAUCAUUUAAAGAAAGCGUAAUAGCUCACUGGUCGAGUCGGCCUGCGCGGAAGAUGUAACGGGGCUAAACCAUGCACCGAAGCUGCGGCAGCGACACUAUGUGUUGUUGGGUAGGGGAGCGUUCUGUAAGCCUGCGAAGGUGUACUGUGAGGUAUGCUGGAGGUAUCAGAAGUGCGAAU
This 707-nucleotide ribosomal RNA is filed under the name Escherichia coli. RNAcentral's name for it is "partial 23S ribosomal RNA". It matches the Rfam family "Bacterial large subunit ribosomal RNA", at positions 588 to 1295 of the family's 2925-position model. The record is from RNAcentral. Lineage: Bacteria; Pseudomonadati; Pseudomonadota; Gammaproteobacteria; Enterobacterales; Enterobacteriaceae.